UGCCAAAUUAAGAAUGAAAAAGCAAGAAAAUUUAGCUGGAAAUUAAUUUAAGGUCACAGAACACGGUUUGGGGGAUGAAGCAUCCACAUGGGUUUGUAAAUUUGCUGUUCCACAUCCCGAGCCAGAGGUGGACCUGUUUAAUAUUGUCAGGCAGGAAAAAAAGGGUAAUAGAAAAAACACGGAAGUUUGGUUGAUUUCACAGCCUCACUUGUCUUAAAAAAUUAAACCUUGUCUAAUGAGUUCAAGAAAGAUGUACGAAUAUACAUUGCAUCAUGUUUAAACAAUCUGAGUGAAUGAAAGAGAAAAGUGUCCUGGGGGUGGGUAGAGGGAGGGGAGGAAAGUGGGGAGGUGACACCUGCAGAGGGGAGGGGCCCUCAGAAUGGCUCUUGAACUCGUGUGGGUCACAGACCCUCUGACAGCCUGAUGGAAGCUUUCUCAGAAAAAUGAUAGGUGAUUUUGCAUAUAGUCUCUGAAACACAUCCUCAUUCACAAGCUGCAGAUGAUAAACCCCUGGGUUUGGUGGGAAGUUCCUACCAGCAUCAGGAGACCAGUGUUUGUGGACAAUCCUUUGGAAUCCUUACAACUUUUAAAACUUUGUGGUAAAAUGUACACAACAUAAAAUCCAUCAUUUUAAGCAGUUUUAGAUGUAUAGUUCAGUGGCAUUAAGUACAUUCACCUUGUUGUACAACCGUCCCACCGUCUACGUCCAGAAUCAUUUCAUCUUCCCCAAACUGAAACUCUGUCUCCAUUAAACACUCACUCCCCAUCCCCUCCCCCAGCCCCUGGUACGCACCAUCCACUUCCUGUCUCGGUGAAUUUGACUCCUCUGGGGAUCUCAUAUGAGUGGAAUCAGACACACAGUAUUUGUCCUUUGGUGACUGGCUUAUGUCACUGAGCAUAAUGUCCUCAAGGUUCAUCCAUGUUAUAGCAGGUGUCAGAAGUUCCUCCCUUUUUAAGGCUGAAUAAUAUUCUAUUUUGUGUGUAGCCCACGUUUUGUUUAUCCAUCAUCCAUCAGCGGACACUGGGUUGCCUCCACCUCCUGGCUGUUGUGAGUAAUGCUGUGGACACGGGUCUGUAAACAUCUCUUCAUGUCCCCACGUUCAGUUCUUUGGGGGAUAUACCCAGAAGUGGAAUUAUUAGAUCAUAUGGUAACUCUGUUUAAUUUUUCGGGGAAUCACCACACAUGUUUUCCACAUCAGUUGUACUACUCUACAUUUUGAUAUAACGUAGAGUUGUAAUAGGGAAGAACAUUUUGUAUUCUCUUACAAGUUAAUUUAAGCCGAUAAGCUUAAAUUCCACACAAUGGCCCAUCUCGGACCCUUGCCUCCGAGAGAUGAAGGUAAAUGAGCAUUCAGCUCAAACACCUGUGUGUUUAGCUCCCAAGAAACCUCCUGAGCAGGCCCACCUGUGAAUGACUGCAGGAGGGAGAAAUGAACACCUCCCCUCCGGAGGCUGACGGGAACCAGGAAGUGCUUGGCUUUAGUCCCGCCCCUUGUAGUAUAAAAGGAGCCCGACUGCUGCCGCAGGCAAGACGGCUCCUGGGGGCACGAGCCCACCGUCUUCUGGGUUUGGGGGCUCUCCGAAGGAAGUCGUUAUUCUUUGCCCAGCAACUCGUCUCCUGAUUAUUGGCCUGUCCUGUGGCGAGCAGUGAGAGCUUGGGCAUCCAAGGCAUCUUCUUUGGGAAAAUUAUCAAUCACACAGGUGAUGGUGUGACAGACGUUUCUCCAGCUGGACGGUGAACCCAGGAUGCGGAUCACCACAGUCUGUGCCAUGAAGUCCUCAGCGCCGCACACAGAGCCUGUGGGACCAGCCGCUCUAGAGAGUGUGCGGGGUGGAGCCUGACGUCGCCCGGAAAGAAACAGAAAUUUGAGGAUGCCAUCACCCAUUGGCUAAACAGAGGUCGGAAUGGGCACGACUGCUACGAUUACCACCAGCGCCACCACGAUGAGGAUGCUGCGAUCGGUCCCUGGAGCCCCUAGGGCUUCAGGCACGGAGCCAGCAUCAACUACGACGACUACUGACCGUCGCUCAGGCGGGCUCGGGGCCGCAGGCUCCGCACGAUGCCCGGGCUGUGUCUGCUGCGCCCGUUCUCGGUUCAUCCUUCCUACCCGUUUUCUGUGGCCACAAAGGAAGAGUUAAAGCAAAGAACGUAAAUGCCUUUCGAGGUUUCAUGCAAGUACCUAACAAUGCAUUUCAUUUAAAAAUAGAAAUAAAAACAUUUUGUUAACACAUCUCAGAGUUCACUUGGAUGAAACUUGAGCUGGCGAGAGUUUUCCUUCCCUGCAUGUUUCUGAGGUUGAAGCAACCUCUCAGAGGCACCUCCCCUCUGCUAUCUGAAGUGUUACCUCUCCAAGAAUUCCCACCACCCCAGACCAUGGGACCGAGCAGGGGUCUUCAAUGUAUUCGAAUUCAGUCCACACUAAAUGCCAAAUUAAGAAUGAAAAAGCAAGAAAAUUUAGCUGGAAAUUAAUUUAAGGUCACAGAACACGGUUUGGGGGAUGAAGCAUCCACAUGGGUUUGUAAAUUUGCUGUUCCACAUCCCGAGCCAGAGGUGGACCUGUUUAAUAUUGUCAGGCAGGAAAAAAAGGGUAAUAGAAAAAACACGGAAGUUUGGUUGAUUUCACAGCCUCACUUGUCUUAAAAAAUUAAACCUUGUCUAAUGAGUUCAAGAAAGAUGUACGAAUAUACAUUGCAUCAUGUUUAAACAAUCUGAGUGAAUGAAAGAGAAAAGUGUCCUGGGGGUGGGUAGAGGGAGGGGAGGAAAGUGGGGAGGUGACACCUGCAGAGGGGAGGGGCCCUCAGAAUGGCUCUUGAACUCGUGUGGGUCACAGACCCUCUGACAGCCUGAUGGAAGCUUUCUCAGAAAAAUGAUAGGUGAUUUUGCAUAUAGUCUCUGAAACACAUCCUCAUUCACAAGCUGCAGAUGAUAAACCCCUGGGUUUGGUGGGAAGUUCCUACCAGCAUCAGGAGACCAGUGUUUGUGGACAAUCCUUUGGAAUCCUUACAACUUUUAAAACUUUGUGGUAAAAUGUACACAACAUAAAAUCCAUCAUUUUAAGCAGUUUUAGAUGUAUAGUUCAGUGGCAUUAAGUACAUUCACCUUGUUGUACAACCGUCCCACCGUCUACGUCCAGAAUCAUUUCAUCUUCCCCAAACUGAAACUCUGUCUCCAUUAAACACUCACUCCCCAUCCCCUCCCCCAGCCCCUGGUACGCACCAUCCACUUCCUGUCUCGGUGAAUUUGACUCCUCUGGGGAUCUCAUAUGAGUGGAAUCAGACACACAGUAUUUGUCCUUUGGUGACUGGCUUAUGUCACUGAGCAUAAUGUCCUCAAGGUUCAUCCAUGUUAUAGCAGGUGUCAGAAGUUCCUCCCUUUUUAAGGCUGAAUAAUAUUCUAUUUUGUGUGUAGCCCACGUUUUGUUUAUCCAUCAUCCAUCAGCGGACACUGGGUUGCCUCCACCUCCUGGCUGUUGUGAGUAAUGCUGUGGACACGGGUCUGUAAACAUCUCUUCAUGUCCCCACGUUCAGUUCUUUGGGGGAUAUACCCAGAAGUGGAAUUAUUAGAUCAUAUGGUAACUCUGUUUAAUUUUUCGGGGAAUCACCACACAUGUUUUCCACAUCAGUUGUACUACUCUACAUUUUGAUAUAACGUAGAGUUGUAAUAGGGAAGAACAUUUUGUAUUCUCUUACAAGUUAAUUUAAGCCGAUAAGCUUAAAUUCCACACAAUGGCCCAUCUCGGACCCUUGCCUCCGAGAGAUGAAGGUAAAUGAGCAUUCAGCUCAAACACCUGUGUGUUUAGCUCCCAAGAAACCUCCUGAGCAGGCCCACCUGUGAAUGACUGCAGGAGGGAGAAAUGAACACCUCCCCUCCGGAGGCUGACGGGAACCAGGAAGUGCUUGGCUUUAGUCCCGCCCCUUGUAGUAUAAAAGGAGCCCGACUGCUGCCGCAGGCAAGACGGCUCCUGGGGGCACGAGCCCACCGUCUUCUGGGUUUGGGGGCUCUCCGAAGGAAGUCGUUAUUCUUUGCCCAGCAACUCGUCUCCUGAUUAUUGGCCUGUCCUGUGGCGAGCAGUGAGAGCUUGGGCAUCCAAGGCAUCUUCUUUGGGAAAAUUAUCAAUCACACAGGUGAUGGUGUGACAGACGUUUCUCCAGCUGGACGGUGAACCCAGGAUGCGGAUCACCACAGUCUGUGCCAUGAAGUCCUCAGCGCCGCACACAGAGCCUGUGGGACCAGCCGCUCUAGAGAGUGUGCGGGGUGGAGCCUGACGUCGCCCAGAAAG
Long non-coding RNA from Balaenoptera acutorostrata (minke whale), 4280 nucleotides. RefSeq lists it as uncharacterized. Lineage: Eukaryota; Metazoa; Chordata; Mammalia; Artiodactyla; Balaenopteridae. The transcript is spliced from 4 exons. The record is from RefSeq and is a predicted model, not a curated record.